Long non-coding RNA from Austrofundulus limnaeus, 486 nucleotides. RefSeq lists it as uncharacterized. The transcript has 3 exons. The record is from RefSeq and is a predicted model, not a curated record. NCBI's taxonomy places the organism in Eukaryota, Metazoa, Chordata, Actinopteri, Cyprinodontiformes, Rivulidae.
AACAAAGUUUAGAUGGUGGUUGAUUUAUCAUCCAAAAUACUUUGCUAAGUGUGAGCUUAGGUCAACUUCCACUUUUUAAAGGUUAAUUAUUGCUUAGUUUUGGUGUUUUGAUAAUGUCACGUAUUUCCAUGUGAGCAGAUUUGCUGGGUUGCAGUAAUCGGAGAGGAAGCUGAACUCUGAACUGAUGCUUGAACUGUUAAUCUGUGGCAUUGGGCAGCAGGUGACCCACGGAUCAGAGGUUACGUUGCUCAUUGCUUGCUCAACGUGUACUGAACUGACCACUGGGACAGAUUGUUGCAGAGCAUCGACCUGUAAGGGGUAGGGAAAGAAGUAUUAGUUAAUUAAACAAAACCAUUUACUUGUAAACAAACACUUUUUGUGAAACAUUUGAAGGUUGUAAACCCUAGAGCAAUUAACAAUGCCAACACCCACUUGGGUGAAGGCUGCGAUAGUAGGAUGGUCUCUGACCCUCCUGCUGAUCCUACU